GGGUGUCUCAAUAUAUUGCCUGUACC
RNAcentral lists this non-coding RNA (26 nucleotides) under Rattus norvegicus (Norway rat). The record is from RNAcentral. Lineage: Eukaryota; Metazoa; Chordata; Mammalia; Rodentia; Muridae.